AUGGGCAGGAGCAAGGGCAAAGCGCCCCAGCGCCCGGAGGGACCCGGGAGGCCCCCCUCGGGGGAGCAGGAAUCUGGGUCUGCCAGCACAGACAGCGUGCCCAGCCGGGAACACCGAAAGGGCCACCAUAAGGCCCACAGGGAGCCCAGCGCCAGGCGAGGCCAGGAGCCCCCCGGUGCCCACAGGAAGCCCACUGUAGGGAAGAACAGGGACUACAGACAAGCAGAGGCAGGGCCGCCGCCAGACGCCAAGGGGAGAGGAGGCAGCGGGCAUGCCCGUGGGGGAUGCUGGGCUAAGGAGAGGGGCAAGCGGGGGGACGGCCACGGGGGGCACCUGGAGGAGAAGGGUCUCCAAGGAGGAGGAAGGACACGCGAGCACGACCGCGGCAGAAGGAGAGGAAAACAACGGGGACGCUCGGCUCAGCGGGGCCGCCAAGAGACACAGAGCCUCGACGGGGACACAUCGGGGGGAGACAGGGCCAGCUCCUGCCUGGACAGCGAAGCCCACGAGGCCCAGGAGAGCCACAGCCAAGGUGGUGGGACCCCAGAGCGGAGGCCCAACUUGGAGCAAACGGACAUGGGCUCGGGGGGCACUCAAACCAGCGCAGAGUCAGCGCUGGAGGCGCCAGGAGCUCCCCAGAAGAGCGACAGCCCAAGCAGCAGCGACGGCAGAGGCAGUGACAAGCCCCCCUCGCAGCCCCAGAGCCCAGAAGGAUCGUCGGGGGCGAGGACCCAGGGAGAGACCGAGGAUUCCGGGACAGACCCAGACUCGAGUCAGGAGGGGGCCGGGCCGUGCCGGAGCCCAGGAGCAGCCCCAGGAACGACCCGCGGGGCCCCUGAGGCCAGCGAGGCUGACCCGAACAGAAAAGCCGCAGCUUCCAGCCCCCUCGAGGGCAGCCCCGCCUGCAUCCCCCGGAGCUCGUGGGGUUCUCAGGACCCCAGGCAGGGCGGGGAUGCAAGAGACGAUGGGGUGCAGCCCGAAGCUGAGCCGAGGGGCGCCCCGCCCGAAAGAGCCGAGGUCUCGACCGCUCGGGGUCAGCGCCGCCAGAUUGGAAAGGUGAUGGGGAAGGCGCACGAGGCGGUGGGCGUGAGCAACGAGGGGUCUGGGGGAGACGGGCCGCGGGCCCCAGCGCCGCUGGCCGCCCUAGUGGCGCUCCGCAGGCUCCGCGCGAGGCCCCCGCCGGAACCCGCUCCCCAGGCCGCCGGGCCCCGCCGCGGCAGCCUCAAGGACCGGCUCGUGCGCGUAGCGCGGGCCCUGGGGCUCCUGCGGUGGCUGCGGCUGCGGCUCCAGCGGCGCGCGGGCGGCGCGCGGGGCCCCGGGACCAGCGAGGGGACGAGCCGCGGGCAGGGGCCGCGCCGCCGCCGUCUAGCGCUGAGCCUGGCGGGCGUCGCGGGGCUGUGGGGGCGACCAAGGCCUCCCCCUGGCGGCGGCCCGAGUUCCCCGCAGGUUGCAGAAAGCCCAGCUCACGACCCAUCGGAGGACGAGGACCCGACUCCAGAUCCCAAGUUCGCCGUUGUGUUCCCCAGGAGCUCAGAGGAAGGGUCCGCGGACGCCCCCGCCGGGGAGGGGCGCGAUUGGUCCUGUGCUGGGGCGUCUGCGGACAGUGCAGGGCGCAGGGCCAGUGUAGAAGGGGUGGCGGAGUCCCCCCGCGGCUCUCUCGGCCCGAAUCCCCACGAAGAGCCCCCAGUCGACGAGAGCGGCUCCAGCAGCGAAGCGGAGCCCGAGACCUUGGGAGCCGCGGCUCCGGUGCAUUGGGCAGAGGGCUCGGACCCUCACAAGGACCCCAGGCUUGGCACCGAAGCACUGCUGCCCCGACUCACCUUGGAGACCCGCCUGCUGCCGGAGGGAAGCCCCGGCCCCCGCGGGUCCUUGAGGGAUCGGUGGGAGCCAGAGGACGAGGUGGAGGAGGCGCUGGAGAGGGACCUGGAGCUGAGUCUCGUGCCCGGCCCGGAGGAGCCUCCUUUUCCCAGCGGCGCCGACGGCUGGACCGUGGGGGAAGGCCUGGAAGACACCGAGGACCUGGCCCGGCUGCGGCCAGUGUGCGACAGCUCCGUGCUGCUGUGUCUGAAGAAGAGGUUUCACCUGGGCCGAAUCUACACGUUCGGGGGGCCCCUCCUGCUCGCUCUGAACCCCCGCCGGGCCCUGCCUCUCUACGCACCUGAGGUCCUGGCCAGCUACCGCCCUGGGAAGACCCCCAACACCACCCCACACAUCUUUGCCGUUGUGGCAUCGGCGUAUAGCCUGUCUGAAAGCACUGGGCAGGCCACCUGCAUCCUUCUGGGUGGGCACAGCGGCUCUGGGAAGACAGAGGCAGCCAAAAAGAUGGUGCAGUUCCUACACAGCCUGGAGUGGGAGCAAAGGGAGAGAGGGUGUCGGGAGAGUGGUCUUCAGGCCUCUGGCUUCUCCUCGGAGGCAGCCCCAGGCAUGGCCUACUGCGGGGCAGGGUGGGCUGGGGAGACCGACCCCUCUGUGGGCCGACAGAGCCCCCACCUGGACACCGUGCUGCCCCUGCUCAGCAGUUUUGGCCAUGCCAAGACAGUCCUCAACGCCAAUGCCAGCCGCUUCGGCCAGGUCCUGGGCCUCUGCCUGCAGCAUGGGCCCUGGGCCUCGUGUACCCUGGGCACCCUCACCGUGUCCUGUGCCCACAGGCACAAGACCCGGCUGCCGCUCCCGCUAAGCCAGUCCUUCUCCCCCGAGGCCCAGGCUGAGCGGAGCUUCCAUGUUUUUUAUGAGCUGCUGGCGGGGCUGGACCCCGUGGAACGAGAGCAGCUCUCCCUGCAGGGGCCAGAGACCUACUACUACCUCAACCAGGGCCGCGCCUGCAGGCUCCAGGACAAGGACGAUGCCCAGGACUUCACAGGACUGGUGAGGGCCCUGCAGGCGCUGGGCUUGUGCACCGAGGAGCUGACCGCCGUCUGGGCUGUGCUGGCCUCCGUCCUGCAGCUGGGCAACAUCUGCUUCUCCUCGUCAGAGAGGGAGUUCCAGGAGGUGGCCGCCGUGUCCAGCUGGGCCGAGAUCCAUGCUGCAGCCCGGCUGCUGCAGGUGCCGCCCGAGCGCCUGGAGGGAGCAGUCACUCGGAGGGUCACGGAGACGCCCUAUGGCCAGGUCUCGAGAUCCCUGCCCGUGGAAAGCGCCAUCGAUGCCAGGGACACCCUGGCCAAGGCCCUGUAUGCACGGCUCUUCACCUGGCUUCUGAGGAUGGCCAACGCGCAGCUGGCAUCCCCUGUGGAGGCAGGCAGCAUGGUUACCAUCACUGUCAUCGAUGUCUACGGCUUUGAGGUCACCCUGAGGAUGGUCCAUGAAACACUGCAGGCUCCAGUCUCAUGGAGCCUUGAGGUGGUGAAAGACCCCAGGAUUGCUGCCCUGGCCCCCCCACCUCAUGUGGGUGCCCACCUCACUGCUCACGUGCCCCCAGGCCCUGCGGGUCAACGGUCUGGAGCAGCUGUACAACAACCUGGGCAGCGAGCGCCUGCAGCUGUGGUGCAAUCGGCUGCUGCUGGCCCAGGAGGAGGAGGAGUGUCGGAGGGAGUUGCUACCCUGGGUGCCCAUCCCGCAGGCUCCACAGGAGUCCUGCCUGGACUUCCUGGUAGACCAGCCACACAGCCUCCUGAGUAUCCUGGAUGCCCAGACAUGGCUGUCCCAGGAGGGGGACCAUCGUGCCUGAGGGGCCAGGUGGUGCAGACUCUGCAGGCUGCAGGCCUGAGCAUCUCUUCCUUUCAUCAGGCCACGGACCACACCUUCCUGCAGAAGUGCCAUUAUCACCAUGGCGACCACCCGCGCUACACCAAGCCCCAGCUGCCCCUUCCCAUCUUCACCGUGCGACAUUAUGCCGGGCCUGUCACCUACCAGGUUCACAAGUUUCUAAACAGAAACCGGGAUCGUCUUGACCCUGCAGUGGUGGAGAUGCUUGCCCAGAGCCAGCUGCAGCUGGUGAGCUGCCUGUUCCAGGAAGCAGAGCCUGAUGAGUUUGGGGGAGGACGGGGCAAACCCACGCUGGCCGCUCGCUUCCAGAAGUCCCUGGGGGACCUCCUAGCCCAGCUGGGCAGGAGCCAUGUCUGCUUCAUCCAGUGCCUCAACCCCAAUCCAGGAAAGCUUCCAGGCCUCUUCGACGUGGAUCAUGUGGCAGAACAACUGCGCCAGGCGGGCAUCCUGGAGGCAGUGUGUACCCGCAGUGCCAACUUCCCCAUUCGCCUGCCCUUCCAGGCCUUCCUGGACAGGUUCCGGGCCCUGGGGACAGAGGAGCAGGGCGAGCUCUCUGACCGGGAAAGGUGUGGCAUCAUCCUGAACCAGGUGCUGGCAGCUGAGUCACCCCUCUGUCACCUGGGAGCCACCCAGGUACUGCUGCGGGAGCCGGGCUGGCAGCAGCUGGAGCAGUGCUGGGCCCAGCAGCACGCCCAGGCCCUGCUGACCCUGCACCGAGGCCUCCGCGUCUGCAUCUCCCACCAGCGCCUCCACCUCCUGCUGCGGAUGCAGGCUCGUGUGCGUGGGCUUCAGACCAGGAAGCGGUACCUCCGGCGGCGGGCAGCUCUGGAGCAGCUGAACACCAUCGUGCUGGCGGCCCGGCCCCUGCUCUGGAGACGGCGGAGACCACAGCUUGGGCGUCGGCACAUCUGGCACAGCGUCGGGGCCUUCGAGACGGUGCCAAGCAUGGAGCUGGGGCGCUUGGAGAUCCCAGCUGAGCUCUCUGUCAUGCUGAAGACAGCGGAAGGCCGUCAGCACGCCCGGGUCCAGAGCAUCACCGAGGCCAUGCCCCCGGAAGUUCCCGCCCGGCCCAGCCUGACCCUCCCGCCUGACAUCAACCAGUUCCCCUUCUCCAGCUUCAUCUCCAUCGGCUUUCAGGAGCCCUCCUUGCCCCACCCUGGACAGCUGCUGACCAAGCCCCUGACCCGGCUGGACGGUGAGAACCCUCAGCAUGCCCUGGAUAUCAACAAGGUGAUGCUGCGGCUGCUGGGGGACGGGUCGCUGGCGCCCUGGCAGGAGCAGACCAUGGGCCAGUACCUGGUGCGGCAGGGGCAGCGCCAGCCGGGGCUGCGAGAUGAGCUCUUCAGCCAGCUGGUGGCCCAGCUCUGGCGCAACCCCGACGAGCAGCAGAGCCAGCGCGGCUGGGCCCUCAUGGCCAUCCUGCUCAGUGCCUUCCCGCCGAUGCACACCCUGCAGAAGCCACUGCUCAAGUUUGUCUCCGACCAGGCCCCCAGGGGCAUGGCAGCGCUGUGCCAACACAAGCUGCUGGGGGCCCUGGAGCAGAUGCAGCUGGCCCCUGGGUCUGCCCGGGCCCACCCACCCACCCAGCUCGAGUGGACGGCCGGAUGGAGGCGGGGCCGCAUGGCGCUGGACGUGUCCACCUUCAAUGAGGAGUGCUACUCGGCCGAGGUGGAGUCCUGGACCACAGGGGAGCAGUUCGCCGGGUGGAUUCUACAGAGCAGAGGCCUGGACCCGCCCCCGCGUGGCUGGUCUGUGUCACUGCACUGCAGGGACUCCUGGAGAGACUUGGCCGGCUGUGACUUUGUGCUGGACUUGAUUGGCCAGACCGAGGACCCGGGGGACCCAGCCUGGCAUCACAGCUACCCCAUCGCCCCCCGUGGCCUAGCCGAGAAUAUCCCCCUGGCCCCCAGCAUCCAGGCCCCCUCACUGCCCCCAGGCCCACCUCCGGGUCCAGCCCCAACAUUGCCCAGCAGGGGGCUCACAGGUGAGUCCCGGACCUCAGGGAGUCUGGAUGGCUUCCUGGACCACCUCUUCAAGCCAGUCCUCUCCCCUGGCCUCAGCGAUCUGGAGCAAGGCAGGGCUCUGAGUGGCCGCAUGAAGGGAGGGGGUGCCAUGGGGCCCAUGCAGCAAGGCAGCUACCCCAUGGUGUACCCAGGGAUGGUGCAGAUGCCCAGCUACCAGCCAGCCAUGAUGCCAGCACCCAUGCCCAUGAUGCCAGCCAUGGGGCCGGUCCCAGGUAAGACUGGACUGUGGCCGCCCGCCAUGGUGGUACCACCACAGCCACAGCCCGUGCUUCCCAGUUUGGACGUGAGGCAGCUGGCGGCCCAGCAGCAGGACUUCAUCAACCAGCAAGCACGGAUCCUGGCCCAGCAGAUGACCACCCAGGCCAUGACCUUGUCCCUGGAGCAGCAGGCAAAGCAACUCCAGAAGCAGAGUCAGGCCCUGGCCCUGGCCCCAGCCCCAGCCCCAGCUGCAGCUCCAGCUCCACCCAAGACACCCACCCCCCAGAAGGAGCCAGAGAGUGGCCUGGAGUUGGUAGGUGCCCGCCUGAGGGAGGCCCCGCAGGAGGCUGAAGACAGGCACCCACGGCCCAGGAGCUUCCAACAGAAGCGAGACUAUUUCCAGAAGUUGGGGCAGCAGCCGAGCAAGGUGAAGACCAUGAAGCCUCCAGCCAAGGUUAAGAUCCCCCAGGCAGAGGUGCAGGACGAGGAGCCAGAAGAGGAGGAACAGAGAGCAGGUGGGCCCUCAGCUCCGCCUCCCCAGGUGGUGAAGAAGCCGCCACUGUCGCAAGGUGCAGCCAGAGCUGCACAGGAGGCCGAGGCUGAGCCAGCCACGGAGGUGGGGCCUGGCGGGGGGCACAGGCCGGCCGGGGGCAAAGCCGUGGUGCGUAGCUCGGACCCUGAGCCCUGGCGGGCAGAGCCCAGCAGGGAGAUCCGCAACAUCAUCCGCAUGUACCAGAGCCGCCCUGGCCCCGUGCCUGUGCCCGUGCAGCCGGCGAGGAAGCCCCCCCAAAGUUUCCUAAAGAAAAACAACCCUAAGGAUGAGGCUCUGGCUAAGCUGGGGAUCAGUGGUGCCUCCUCGCCCCCUCAGACGCUCCCCAGCCCAGGGAAGGCCCCCCCACCGGCCGUGGCCCCUCGACCCAGGGCCCGACCACGGCUGAUGCCGUCCAGCUCCAUCAAGGAGAAGCAGGGGCCCCUUCAAGAGCUGUUUGGCCAGAACCCACCCACUGCCCAGAAACCACCCCCUCCACCCGCACCUCCACUGCCUCCGCCCUGGGAGCCAGCGAGCCCUCCAGCUGAGCCCCGCAGCUUGGUGGAGCCCAUGGGGGACCAGGGGGUCUCCACCCAGCUGCUCGUGCCCUCAGGCAGCGUGUGCUUCUCCUAUGCCAGCGCCCCCUGGAGGCUGUUCCUGCGCAAGGAGGUGUUCUACCCCCGGGAGAGCUUCAGCCACCCCUACUGCCUCAGGCUCCUCUGUGAGCAGAUCCUGAGGGACACCUUUGCCGAGUCCUGCAUCCGCAUCUCCCAGGACGAGAGGCGCAAGAUGAAAGACCUGCUGGGAGACCUGGAGGUGGGCCUGGACUCACUGGAUACGGCUGAGGACGGCGUCAAGAAGCGCAUCGUGGUGGCCGCCAGGAACAACUGGGCCAAUUACUUCUCCCGCAUCUUCCCUGUCUCGGGCGAGAGCGGCAGCGAUGUGCAGCUGCUGGCUGUGUCCCACCGGGGGCUGAGACUGCUCAAGAUGACCCAGGGCCCCAGCCUGCACCCCGACCAGCUGAAGACUCUCUGCUCGUACAGCUUUGCUGAGGUGCUGGGCGUGGAGUGCCCGGCCAGCUCCACCCUGGAGCUGUCGCUGAAGAGUGAACAGCUGGUGCUGCACACGGCUCGGGCGGGAGCCAUCAAGGCCAUGGUCGAGCUCUUCCUGAGCGAGCUCAAGAAGGACUCUGGCUAUGUCAUUGCCCUGCGAAGCUACAUCACCGAUGACCACAGCCUCCUCAGCUUCCAACGUGGGGACCUCAUCAAGCUGCUGCCGGUGGCCACCCUGGAGCCAGGCUGGCAGUUCGGCUCCACGGGCGGCCGCUCCGGACUCUUCCCUGCUGACAUCGUGCAGCCGGCAGCUGCUCCAGACUCAUUCUUCUCAACGGAGCAGAGGAGCAGCCAGGGGCACAAGGGUCAGCUGCAGCGCAGAGAGUGGGAUAGGGCAUCGGAGGUGAGGAAGACGGGAGAAGCCGAGGCAAGGCCUCACUAGGAGCCUAGGAAAGGCCAGGCGCGCAGUGACAACUCGGCCACCAGCCUGUCCCCCUCUGUGGCCUACGUGGCCCUGCCCACGGACUCCGACUACACCAUGCAGGAGUUUGCCCUGCGCUACUUCCGGAAACCCCAGACCCUGCCGGCCCAGACCGGUGGAGAUGCUGAGAAGGCCACGGCCAGCCUGGUGCAGUACAGCAAGGCUCCCAUCCAGGAAUCGCUCAUCAGCUUCAGUGAUGAGGACACGAACAGGCAAGCUGUGGAGAGCUUCCAGGCUCUGAUGCAGUUUAUGGGGGACCAGUCCAAGCCACGGGGCAAGAAUGAGCUGGAUCUCCUCUAUGGGCUGCUGAAGCUUUGCCAGGAGAAGGAGGAUCUCAGGGAUGAGGUUUACUGCCAGGCCAUCAAGCAGGUCACAGGACACCCCCGGCCGAAACUCUGCGCGAGAGGCUGGCGCUUCCUCAGCCUCCUCACGGGCUGCGUCCCCCCAUCGAACACGCUGAUGCCCUACGUGACCAAGUUUCUGCAGGACUGGGGUCCUCACCAAGAGCUGGCCCAAAGCAGCCAAGAGCACCUGCAGCGCACAGUCAAGUAUGGGGGGCGCCGGCGGCUGCCCUCCCCAGGCGAGAUGCAGGCCUUCCUGAAAGGACAGGUAGUCCACCUGGUCCUAAUUCACUUGCCUGGGGGUGUGGAUUACAAGACCAAUAUCCGCACUUUCACGGUGGCAGCAGAGGUGCUGGAGGAGUUGUGCAGGCAGAUGGGCAUCACGGACCCCCAGGAAGUGCAGGAGUUUGCCCUCUUCCUCAUCAAAGGGGACGGUGAGCUGGUGCGGCCCCUGUGGCCCCAGGAGUACCUUAACAGCGUGCUCGGGGGUCUGGAUGUGAGCCUGCACAGCCGGCGGCUCGGCUGGGAGACCCGGCUGCACUUUGACAAUCCCACCUACAUCAGCACCCACUACGGCCAGGUGCUGCGGGACUACCUUCAGGGAAAGCUGGGGCUCAGCCCCCAGGAAGACGCCCGACUUGCCAGAUUGGCUGCCUUGCAGCAGCUCAGCAGGAGCACGGAGGAGCCCCCCUCAGAGCAAGACCUCUUGGCUUACGUGCCAAGGCAGCAACAGUGGCAGCAGCAAUGGCAGAUGAAUGUGGCCACUGUGAAGAGCCUGAUGGGCCGGGAACUGAGGCAGCUACAAGGAUGCAGCCCCCAGGAAGCGCAGAUCAGCUUCAUCAAGGCUGUGAGCGAGCUGCCCCUCUUCGGGUACACGGUUUACCUGGUGCUACGAGUGAGCAAUCCGGCCCUGCCCAGCCCCGGCCUCCUGGGGCUGAACCGCCAGCACCUCGUCCUCAUGGACCCCGGCUCCCAGGAACUGUGCUGCUCCAUCGCCCUGAGAGACCUGCAGCGGCUCCACUUGCUGAGCCCACUGGAGGCAGAGGGCUCCCCUGGCCUGGAACUCAACUACGGCUCAGCCGACAACCCCCAGACCAUCUGGUUUGAGCUUCCGCAGGCCCAGGAGCUGAAGCACACCAUCACCUUCCUGCUGGACGGCAACCCUCCUUCCAGUUAGUGGCCGCGCUACACCCAAGGCGGGAGCAGAGACGGAGACAGGACCCCUCCCCGGCCCACGUCUCACCUCGACAAUCUCCUCUGGGUGCCGUCAGGCCAGUCUGGUUUGGACUUCAGUGCUUGGCUGUCCUGGAAUCCACUGUAGCACGGCCCACAGUGGGGCUGCUACAGGGACUUCAACUGGGGAAGUGCUGCGAGCCUCAUUCUGGGGUGGGCCUGCAGUGGGGACUGCGGGAACUCGGCUUGGGUGUCGGGGGGUCACCCAGCCUCGGGGAGAUGCCCACCUGGGGCCUGGCCCCACAUCAGCACGUGCCCAGACCUGGGAGGAGCGGCUGCUGAAGAAAUAAAACCCCCAAGAGAACAGG
RNAcentral lists this unclassified non-coding RNA (9868 nucleotides) under Bos taurus (domestic cattle). RNAcentral's name for it is "hypothetical LOC508470". Lineage: Eukaryota; Metazoa; Chordata; Mammalia; Artiodactyla; Bovidae. The record is from RNAcentral.